UUUGUUAACGUGCCUGCUAGACUGCAGUCGUAUCAAGUGACCGUAACUUGCUCCCUUAGGUCAGCGGCGGACGGGUGAGUAACACGUGGGUCACCUGCCUGUAAGACUGGGAUAACUCCGGGAAACCGGGGCUAAUACCGGAUGCUUGAUUGAACCGCAUGGUUCAAUCAUAAAAGGUGGCUUUUAACUACCACUUACCGAUGGACCCGCGGCGCAUUAACUAGUUGGUGAGGUAACGGCUCACCAAGGCGACGAUGCGUAGCCGACCUGAGAGGGUGAUCGGCCACACUGGGACUGAAACACGGCCCAGACUCCUACGGGAGGCAGCAGUAGGGAAUCUUCCGCAAUGGACGAAAGUGGUGACGGAACAACGCCGCGUGAGUGAUGAAGGUUUUCGGAUCGUAAAACUCUGUUGUUAGGGAAAAACAAUACCGUUCCAAUAGGGCGGUACCUUGACGGUACCUAACCCGAAAAGCCACGGCUAACUACGUGCCCACAGCCGCGGUAAUACGUAGUGGCAAGCGUUGUCCCGAAUUAUUUGGGCGUAAAGCGCGCGCAGGCGGUUUCUUAAGUCUGAUGUGAAAAGCCCCCGGCUCCAACCGGGGAGGGUCAUUGGAAACUGGGGAACUUGAGUGCCGAAGAAGAAAGUGGAAUUCCACGUGUACCGGUGAAAUGCCGUAAAAAUGUGGAGGAACACCACUGGGCGAAGGCGAAUCUCUGGUCUGUAAUGACGCUGGAGCCGAAACGUGGGGAACGAAACGGAUUAAAAACCUGGUAGCCCCUGCCGUAAACCGAUGAGUGCUAGUGUAGAGGGUUUCCGCCCUUUAAUGCUGCCGCAAUGCAUUAGACCUCCCGCCCUGGGGGAGAU
Molecule: ribosomal RNA, 868 nt
Filed under: Bacillus licheniformis
Lineage: Bacteria; Bacillati; Bacillota; Bacilli; Caryophanales; Bacillaceae
Description: bacterial SSU rRNA
Rfam family: Bacterial small subunit ribosomal RNA
Source: RNAcentral